UGGUGGAGUGAUUUGUCUGGUUAAUUCCGUUAACGAACGAGACCUCAGCCUGCUAACUAGUCCAACAAACACUUAUGUGUUUGCUUUUGGAGCUUCUUAGAGGGACUGUCUGUAUACAGCAGAAGGAGGUUUGAGGCAAUAACA
RNAcentral lists this ribosomal RNA (144 nucleotides) under uncultured eukaryote. Its description in RNAcentral is "partial 18S ribosomal RNA". It matches the Rfam family "Eukaryotic small subunit ribosomal RNA", at positions 1299 to 1458 of the family's 1831-position model. The record is from RNAcentral.